Non-coding RNA from Meleagris gallopavo (turkey), 4325 nucleotides. The record is from RefSeq and is a predicted model, not a curated record. NCBI's taxonomy places the organism in Eukaryota, Metazoa, Chordata, Aves, Galliformes, Phasianidae.
GCCUGCUGCCGGCCGCUCGUUGAUGGCGGCCGAGCCCGGCUGCGUGCCCUCGCCGCGGCCUGGCUGCUGAACGACAUUCACCGGCGGAUCGAUCCCGUGCCCGGAGGAGCUCGCCGGUCGAGAGAUUUUGUCUAGGAACAUGGCUGGCCAACACAUCCUUCCUCAGGCUUUGUAUCAGAGCAACAUGCUGAAAGCUGUGAAGAUUAGAGAGAGGACACCUGAAGAUCUGAUCAAACCUCCCAGUGGAAUAAUUCACCACUUCAGGACUAUGCACAGAUACACUAUAGAAAUGUUCAGAAUGUGCCAGUUUUGCCCUCAAUUCCGGGAAAUGCUUCAGAAGGCCCUGACUGACCAAGCCACCCAGACUUCGCUGGAACGCCAGAGGAAGCUGAACUGGUGCAUGGAGGUCAGGAGACUUGUGCCUUUGAAAACUAAUGGUGAUGGAAAUUGCCUCAUGCAUGCUGCAUCGCAGUACAUGUGGGGUAUUGAAGAUGUUGACCUCGUCCUAAGGAAAACGUUGUUUAGUGCACUCAGGGAGAUUGACACACAGAACUUCAAGCUGCGCUGGCAGCGGGAGGCUAUUAAAUCCCAGGAGUUUGUGCAAACGGGACUCCACUUUGACACCCGGAACUGGGAGGAGGAGUGGGAGUAUCUCAUAGAAAUGACCUCCCCAGAAACAUCUGGGGCUCGAAACAGACUUCCUUAUAAUGCACUGGAAGAAAUCCACAUCUUUGUUCUUGCUAACAUCCUCAGAAGACCAAUCAUUGUCCUUGCAGAUAAAGUUGUGAGAAGUUUAGAAUCAGGCUCCAGUUUUGCUCCUCUGAACGUUGGUGGUGUUUACCUGCCACUCCUUUGGCCAGCUGAAGAGUGCUACAGAUAUCCAAUUGUGCUCGGCUAUGACAAUAUGCAUUUUACACCACUUGUGACCCUGAAGGACAGUGGGCCAGAAAUCCGGGCUGUCCCUCUGGUCACCAGCGAACGAGGCAGAUUCGAGGAUUUGAACGUGCACUUUCUGACAGAUGCAGAGGAGAGGGAGAAGGAGCAGCUGCUGAAGGACUACUUGAUAGUCAUAGAAAUUCCAGUGCAAGGCUGGGAUCAUGGCACAACUCAUUUAAUUAAUGCUGCAAAGUUGGAUGAAGGCAACCUGCCCAAAGAAAUAAAUCUUGUGGAAGACUACUUUCAGCUGGUGCAGCAUGAGUACAAGAAAUGGCAGGAGCAUGCUGAGCCUGCCAGAAAAGAGGCCUGCUCCAGGAACAGACAGGAACUGUCUUUUUCCCAGCUCUCCCUCUUACAGGUGAAAUGUGAAACUCCAAACUGCCCUUUCUAUAUGUCUGUGAACACCCAGCCCUACUGCCAUGAGUGCUAUGAACGGAGGACACAAGGAAGCAAAGGAAGAAAGCAGGUCUCUGAAGCAGCACCUGAGAAACUGAAGGCAGCUGGGUCAGGCUCCUCCUGUGGUAAAGCUUGUGAACCUGGGGGUUGGAUGUCUGAGGAGGCUGUAACAGGGCCUCGCUCUGCACCCCCAACUGCUCCCAGCCUUUUCCUCUAUAGUGAAACCACUGCCAUGAAAUGCCGGACUCCAGACUGCCCCUUCACCUUAAACGUGCAACACAACGGACUUUGUGAACGCUGCUACAAUGCCAGACAGCUUGCUCCUUGUAACAAUUUAGAUGACCAGAGAUGUUUGGACUAUGCCACGUGUAAAGUCUGCCUUCAGAAGGCCAACAGGACAUUUAAUGGCAUCUGCAGCACUUGUUUCAAAAGGACUACAGAGCGCUCCUCGAAUGGCAGCCCUGGUUUUGUACCUACAUGCCAUCAGAGAUCUACAUCUGACCCAUCUCAGAUCCCACAGAGCCUCCUUCAGCAUUCCUGCCAGCAAGCUCCUAACAACAACUGUGAUGAGCUGCCGUUGGCUGCGCUGCCUCAUGCCCCACACGCUUUGGAAGAGAAGAAGGGAAGUAAGCUCUGCAGGAAGCCUGGCUGCAAGUUUUUUGGAACAGCUCAGAAUGAGGGCUUUUGCACGCUGUGCUUCUUUGAAUACAGGGAAAACCAUGACAGUGCUUCACUACGCCAUCAGAGGAGAUCUCAGAGGAAUUCCUCAGCAGCUGGUCAACAGGGGAGCUCAGCUGCCACUUUCCACAAUACCAUGUCCUGCCAACAGCAGAACUGUAGCACCCUGGGUAGCACCAUGCUGGAGGGUUACUGCCAGAACUGUUUCAUUAAAGCCCAGAGCCAGCGAUUUCAGGAAGCCAGAAGGACAGAAGAACAGCUAGUGAGACAGCCUGAAAGAACAGGACAGCGCAGAGAUCUACAGCGAGCAGCACUGACUAGCCAGAAGAGACAAUGUGCCGUGGCUUCAUGUCGAAACAACCUGGCCUGCAGAAGCAGUGAGCUGUGCCAGCAGUGCCAGCGCCUUGGCCAGCUUGUGCAGCUGGGGGGUCCCAGGGAGCCAGCUGCAGAUGAGCCCCCGAAGCAACGCUGUCGAGCCCCUGCUUGCGACCACUAUGCUGAGUGAAGCAGAGACAAGUAGACACAAGAAAAAGUACAAACAAGUUCUUUAUUCUGCAACUCCAUUUGAGCACUCUAAAGAUAGCAUCAAGGACUGCAUGGAAAUCCCCUGGAUACACUUUGUAAUUUUUUCCGGUGAAUUUCGGGAUAGCAAAUAUGAAAGGCGAGGAUACUCUUUGGACAUAGAAGAACCAGGAUGAAACUUGCCCAGAGGAAGCACGUGGAGCAAGAUACAUGUCCCUGCACUAAACAGUUACCUAAAUAAAAAGCUCACUAUGUUACCAUUUCCACAGUUACUUUGAGUGUUAAAGAAAUGUAUUUGAAUUCCCAAAAAAUUUCCAGCUCAGGCCCUGUAUGUUUCCAGCGUAGAAAACCAGUGCCCACAGAAGAAAAGGCUGAAUUAGAUCAAAUCUGGCACGGAUCUCUGCAGAAAAUAAGUAGAGAAGCCAUGUGCUGAAGAUUACUUACUGCCAACCUACUUACAAUUUGUCCAUUUCAAAGUGCACACUGUUUUUUGCAGCGAGAGUUUCUGUAUUUUUCUGACACAACAUUGUACAUUAUUGAAGCAAGUACCUCACAGAAGUCUACAUUAUUCCUUUUACAAAUCAUACUAGAAACUGAUGUCAGAAAAGCAUGGUUUUUAUUAAUUAACAUGGACUCACAUGAGCAAUUGUCCUUCAUCUUUAAGCAACUUUUGCAGGAUUUGUGGGUGUAAGUUGGAUUUGGGAAAAGUGACGUUAUUUACUUAUAUCACGUAAGAACAGCACUUUCCAUUACACUUAUAGGUAAGACAAAUUAAAAACAAAAACAAACAAACAAACAAAAAAACACAGGAAGUUUACAGAACACUUUUCACCUCUGCAUUUAGAAUUGUUUAUCUCCAGAGGAGAUGCUAACUACUUCUGAGUUGAAUUUGAUGCUAAAAAAUCUUUAUUGCCUUUAGCUUUGCUAACCUUUGAUUUUCCCUCAGUGUGAUUGCAAGUUGGACAAGUGAAGAAGUUCAAAAUAUUCCUAAGUUCCUCCUACAAACGUCCACGUGCUGUUUUUGUGAAAUGAAAUUGUAUUGAAAAGAUCUAAUCAUUUUACACAGAUCAAAAUUGACCUAUAGUGGUAUCACAUGGUGUAAAAGUUCUCCAGUAACAUUAACCUUUAUUAGUCCCUCUAUAUCCACCUAAACCCCAUGAAACAUAAACAAAAUUACCCUUAGAAAAGUUCCAUACCAGGCAAAUUUUUUUACCUAUCUCUGUCCCAAACAUGCAAACUACCAUAUCUUCUGCCAUCCUGCACUAGUCUUUGGGGAGUUUCAAUCCCUGUAUGUGGGUGAGAAGUGGUCACACCAUAAAAAACAACUCAGAUGUCAAAUGAACUAAUGGAUGACACAUAGUGCGUACUGGCUUACAGUUUAACCUUCAGGUUUUGGCAAUAUGUGGUAAUGCAGAAAGUUCUCUGCUCCUACAUGUCUGCACAAUUCAUCCAGCUCCACUGCCAUAUUCCUGCUGCUGAGUUGUUCCCACAUAGCAGAGAAAAGGUUCCUUUUCUCUCAGCCUGGAAAAUGUGAUGACUUUUAUUUAUAGUUCCACUCAAUCACUGUGUUGUACCAAGGCUAAACAAACUACAAACAUGAUUAAAAGCAAUUUUUAUAUUAUUCUUUUCCUGUGUUAAAUAAGAGAAAAUGAUGUGUUAUGGAUUUCCUCCACCAGGAUGCUGAAAACUUUCAAGAGGAAAGCAUUAAUUUAAGAAAUAGUAAUUCAUUUUUUGCACAGAGAUUUACCUAGGAGCAUAAGCAAAAGAGCGAGGGUUUUCUGCCUCCACUCCCA